This 385-nucleotide ribosomal RNA is filed under the name uncultured bacterium. RNAcentral's name for it is "bacterial SSU rRNA". It matches the Rfam family "Bacterial small subunit ribosomal RNA", at positions 30 to 416 of the family's 1533-position model. The record is from RNAcentral.
AUUGAACGCUGGCGGCAUGCCUUACACAUGCAAGUCGAACGGCAGCGCGGGGCAACCUGGCGGCGAGUGGCGAACGGGUGAGUAAAAUAUCGGAACAUACCCUAGAGUGGGGGAUAACGUAGCGAAAGUUACGCUAAUACCGCAUACGCACUAAGGUGGAAAGUGGGGGAUCUUCGGACCUCAUGCUCAUGGAGUGGCCGAUAUCUGAUUAGCUAGUUGGUGAGGUAAAGGCUCACCAAGGCGACGAUCAGUAGCUGGUUUGAGAGAACGACCAGCCACACUGGAACUGAGACACGGUCCAGACUCCUACGGGAGGCAGCAGUGGGGAAUUUUGGACAAUGGGGGGCAACCCUGAUCCAGCAAUGCCGCGUGAGUGAAGAAGGCC